CAAUAGCGUAUAUUAAAGUUGUUGCAGUUAAAAAGCUCGUAGUUGGAUUUCUGGUAGGAGCGACCGUGCCGAACUUGAUUGUUCGAGUAUUGUGUUGUCUUCAGCCAUCCUCGUGGAGAACUUUUCUAACAUUAACUUGUUGGGAUUGGGACCCGCGUCGUUUACUGUGAAAAAAUUAGAGUGUUUAAAGCAGGCAUUAGCUUGAAUACAUUAGCAUGGAAUAAUAAGAUAGGACUUUGGUACUAUUUUGUUGGUUUGCAUACCAAAUUAAUGAUCAACAGGAACAGUUUGAGGAUAUUCGUAUGAACAUGUCAGAGGUGAAAUUCUUGGAUUUUGAUCAGACGGACUACUGCGAAAGCAUUUAUCAAGGAUGUUUUCAUUAA
This 383-nucleotide ribosomal RNA is filed under the name uncultured eukaryote. Its description in RNAcentral is "partial 18S ribosomal RNA". It matches the Rfam family "Eukaryotic small subunit ribosomal RNA", at positions 592 to 976 of the family's 1831-position model. The record is from RNAcentral.